GCCAGUGUUGCAGGGAGUGGCGGAUGAUGGACACAGAUGGGACACCCUGCGCGGGGAAAUGUUCCGCCUCCUGGAGGACCUGUGGGCAGGAAAAGCGUCCUCCUGUGAGCCCUGCCCCGAGGGCUGGCUGGCGUUUGAGGGUUCCUGCUACAAGUUUCGACAGACCAGCGCCACUGGGAUGACGCCAAG
This 189-nucleotide long non-coding RNA is filed under the name Cavia porcellus (domestic guinea pig). RNAcentral's name for it is "lncRNA (ENSCPOG00000039996.1)". Lineage: Eukaryota; Metazoa; Chordata; Mammalia; Rodentia; Caviidae. The record is from RNAcentral.